RNAcentral lists this ribosomal RNA (465 nucleotides) under Vreelandella stevensii. Its description in RNAcentral is "partial 16S ribosomal RNA". It matches the Rfam family "Bacterial small subunit ribosomal RNA", at positions 338 to 795 of the family's 1533-position model. Lineage: Bacteria; Pseudomonadati; Pseudomonadota; Gammaproteobacteria; Oceanospirillales; Halomonadaceae. The record is from RNAcentral.
CCUACGGGGCGCUGCAGUGGGGAAUAUUGGACAAUGGGCGAAAGCCUGAUCCAGCCAUGCCGCGUGUGUGAAGAAGGCCUUCGGGUUGUAAAGCACUUUCAGUGGGGAAGAAAGCCUUGGGGCCAAUACCCUCGAGGAAGGACAUCACCCACAGAAGAAGCACCGGCUAACUCCGUGCCAGCAGCCGCGGUAAUACGGAGGGUGCGAGCGUUAAUCGGAAUUACUGGGCGUAAAGCGCGCGUAGGCGGUCUGAUAAGCCGGUUGUGAAAGCCCCGGGCUCAACCUGGGAACGGCAUCCGGAACUGUCAGGCUAGAGUGCAGGAGAGGAAGGUAGAAUUCCCGGUGUAGCGGUGAAAUGCGUAGAGAUCGGGAGGAAUACCAGUGGCGAAGGCGGCCUUCUGGACUGACACUGACGCUGAGGUGCGAAAGCGUGGGUAGCAAACAGGAUUAGAUACCCGGGUAGUC